Molecule: ribosomal RNA, 459 nt
Filed under: uncultured bacterium
Lineage: Bacteria
Description: partial 16S ribosomal RNA
Rfam family: Bacterial small subunit ribosomal RNA
Source: RNAcentral
CCUACGGGUGGCAGCAGUGAGGAAUAUUGGUCAAUGGUCGGGAGACUGAACCAGCCAAGCCGCGUGAGGGAUGAAGGUACAGAGUAUCGUAAACCUCUUUUGUCAGGGAACAAAGGCGGGGACGUGUCCCCGGAUGAGUGUACCUGAAGAAAAAGCAUCGGCUAACUCCGUGCCAGAAGCCGCGGUAAUACGGAGGAUGCGAGCGUUAUCCGGUUUUAUUGGGUUUAAAGGGUGCGCAGGCGGUCUGUUAAGUCAGCGGUAAAAGCCCGGGGCGAAACCCCGGCCCGCCGUUGAAACUGGCAGUCUCGAGUUGGAGAGAAGGAUGCGGAAUGCGCGGUGUAGCGGUGAAAUGCAUAGAUAUCGCGCAGAACUCCGAUUGCGAAGGCAGCAUGCCGGCUCCACACUGACGCUGAGGCACGAAAGCGUGGGUAUCGAACAGGAUUAGAUACCCCAGUAGUC